UACGGAGGGUGCGAGCGUUGUUCGGAAUCACUGGGCGUAAAGCGCGUGUAGGCGGCCCGCUAAGUCUGAUGUGAAAGCCCGAGGCUCACCCUCGGAAGUGCAUUGGAAACUGGCGGACUGGAGUCCCGGAGAGGAGGGUGGAAUUCCUGGUGUAGCGGUGAAAUGCGUAGAUAUCAGGAGGAACACCGAUGGCGAAGGCAGGUCUCUGGGCCAUUACUGACACUGAGAAGCGAAAGCAUGGGGAGCGAACAGG
RNAcentral lists this ribosomal RNA (253 nucleotides) under uncultured bacterium. RNAcentral describes it as "partial 16S ribosomal RNA". It matches the Rfam family "Bacterial small subunit ribosomal RNA", at positions 524 to 776 of the family's 1533-position model. The record is from RNAcentral.